RNAcentral lists this ribosomal RNA (274 nucleotides) under uncultured bacterium. Its description in RNAcentral is "partial 16S ribosomal RNA". It matches the Rfam family "Bacterial small subunit ribosomal RNA", at positions 523 to 796 of the family's 1533-position model. The record is from RNAcentral.
CUACGAAGGAGGCUAGCGUUGUUCGGAAUUACUGGGCGUAAAGCGCGUGUAGGCGGAUUGGUCAGUUAGGGGUGAAAUCCCAGGGCUUAACCCUGGAACUGCCUCUAAUACUGCCAGUCUUGAGUUCGGGAGAGGUGAGUGGAAUUCCUAGUGUAGAGGUGAAAUUCGUAGAUAUUAGGAAGAACACCAGUGGCGAAGGCGGCUCACUGGCCCGAUACUGACGCUGAGGCGCGAAAGCGUGGGGAGCAAACAGGAUUAGAUACCCUAGUAGUCC